This 408-nucleotide long non-coding RNA is filed under the name Vulpes vulpes (red fox). RNAcentral's name for it is "lncRNA (ENSVVUG00000025895.1)". The record is from RNAcentral. Lineage: Eukaryota; Metazoa; Chordata; Mammalia; Carnivora; Canidae.
AGCCAAUAAUCUGUCAUUCUUACCAUCCAGAAUGUUCACAUGAAGAUAUAAACAGAAAAAGAAGCCACUUCAUAUGUAAAGAAAAAGGAAGAUGCUUCCUCAAGAUCUCUAAAGCUCGGAUUCACACUCCUCAUCCUCCCCGAGAAGAGUGAGGUGAGCAUCAGAGCAGGAGAAAAUUCUCAUCAAAGAACUUUGCCCUGUAAGUACUGCGCCCUCAAACUUACUUGGAGAUACUUCUUCAAGAAUGCUCAUCGAUGUAGUGUGUUCAUCAUUAAAAGGAUAAACAAUCUACUCUUCAGAUGUAGUUUCCAGCUCAUUGGAAGGAAGGCCUCCCUCCGAUGUUGUCUCUGCUCCUUCACAUCACACUGGAAGAGGUCAAUUAAAAAACACUUGAAGCCAGUCACCUAA